This is a non-coding RNA of Anaerococcus vaginalis ATCC 51170, 267 nucleotides long. It matches the Rfam family "Bacterial large signal recognition particle RNA". From Rfam's summary of the family: The signal recognition particle (SRP) is a universally conserved ribonucleoprotein involved in the co-translational targeting of proteins to membranes. Archaeal SRP consists of a 7S RNA and homologues of the eukaryotic SRP19 and SRP54 proteins. The record is from Rfam. Lineage: Bacteria; Bacillati; Bacillota; Tissierellia; Tissierellales; Peptoniphilaceae.
AUGCACUAGAUGGGGAGUUAGCGGUGCCUUGUAACCUGCAAUCCGCUAUAGCAGGAUUGAAUUCCCAAGUUAGGAUUUUAAAAUAUAUAGUCUGCCUUAAAUAAGCGGUGUUGAUUGAUGGGUCUUACGCAAUAGGAAACUAUGAACCAUGUCAGGACGGGAACGUAGCAGCAUUAAGUAGAUCUUCUUAUGUGCCGUAAGGUCACCUAUCAUGAGCUGGCUGUUUAAGUAACGUAUAGAUUUUAAUUUACGAGCUUGGGUGUGCUU